This 750-nucleotide long non-coding RNA is filed under the name Hordeum vulgare. RNAcentral describes it as "long non-coding RNA (HVUL_LNC013234)". Lineage: Eukaryota; Viridiplantae; Streptophyta; Magnoliopsida; Poales; Poaceae. The record is from RNAcentral.
CGUGGAUUGCUACAGAACAAUAAACUUAUGUACAUUGAUAUUUUUUUAAAUGUACAUUAACGAUUCACCAGCAGCUAGCAGAGACGGCGACAUUUUGUGCUGGACGAGCACACUUCCUCUUCCCCGCCUGACUAUUUGCGAGAGUUCCACACCAUGACACACUGCUCGUACUCCUUCAGCGGUGUAGGCUCGCCCACAUCACCUGCUGGCUGUCUAGCUAUCAAUUAAACAGAUAUGGUCGCAGCUCUUAAGGACAAUAAAGAAAUGGUGAAUACUCUUCAAGGACCACAUGCUGGAGAAGAUAGAAGAGUUCUGCCUCCAUCUUCAACAGUUGUUAAGAGGAUCCCUGCAGAUUGGGUGGAAGUAGAUGACACCCAGCUCGAUCGGCCUGAUCUCAAGAUGCUUAGCAGAACACAAAACGCUGGAGUACUAAGCCCAAUCUCUGUUCUGGAGGCACUCGGAUCUCCUGUGAUGCACUAUGCUUGAAGAUGGAAGCUGCUCAAAAAUAAGUCCCCUAAUAGUGUGCAAAUUUCUCUUUUCAUCUCAUGUAAUAAAAGAGAUAGACGUCGUUGCCUCAGCGAUUUCUUAGUUUUUGUUUCUGCCUUAUGCUAUGCUUGUAACCUUUAACUUGACAACCAUCAUGCUUCUUUCUGAGUAAUGGAGCCGGGGAGCUCCUCCCUAUUUGGACAAGUUGUCCUGCAAUUUCAGCGGAGCGGAGAGUGUGCCAAGCUUGCUGGGACAGGGUGUCCU